GCCCAGAUGGUGAAAUGGUAGACACGCCAGUCUCAGGAGCUGGUGCCGCAAGGCAUGGGGGUUCAAGUCCCCCUCUGGGCA
This 81-nucleotide transfer RNA is filed under the name Armatimonadota bacterium. RNAcentral's name for it is "Armatimonadetes bacterium (glacier metagenome) tRNA-Leu". It matches the Rfam family "tRNA". From Rfam's summary of the family: Transfer RNA (tRNA) molecules are approximately 80 nucleotides in length. Their secondary structure includes four short double-helical elements and three loops (D, anti-codon, and T loops). Lineage: Bacteria; Bacillati; Armatimonadota. The record is from RNAcentral.